AGAGUUUGAUCCUGGCUCAGGACGAACGCUGGCGGCGUGCUUAACACAUGCAAGUCGAGCGGUAAGGCCCUUCGGGGUACACGAGCGGCGAACGGGUGAGUAACACGUGGGUGAUCUGCCCUGUACUUCGGGAUAAGCCUGGGAAACUGGGUCUAAUACCGGAUAUGACCUUCGGUUGCAUGACCGUGGGUGGAAAGAUUUAUCGGUACAGGAUGGGCCCGCGGCCUAUCAGCUUGUUGUGGGGUAAUGGCCUACCAAGGCGACGACGGGUAGCCGGCCUGAGAGGGCGACCGGCCACACUGGGACUGAGACACGGCCCAGACUCCUACGGGAGGCAGCAGUGGGGAAUAUUGCACAAUGGGCGAAAGCCUGAUGCAGCGACGCCGCGUGAGGGAUGACGGCCUUCGGGUUGUAAACCUCUUUCGACAGGGACGAAGCGCAAGUGGCGGUACCUGUAGAAGAAGCACCGGCCAACUACGUG
RNAcentral lists this ribosomal RNA (481 nucleotides) under uncultured Nocardia sp. RNAcentral's name for it is "bacterial SSU rRNA". It matches the Rfam family "Bacterial small subunit ribosomal RNA", at positions 8 to 507 of the family's 1533-position model. The record is from RNAcentral. Lineage: Bacteria; Bacillati; Actinomycetota; Actinomycetes; Mycobacteriales; Nocardiaceae.